CUGGGCAAAGGUUGAGAAAUCCUUUGUCUGAAGGACACAGAUGGACAAGUCCAGGCAAGUCCUGGUCAAAAGUAGCAAAAUCUUUUGCCUGAAUAUUUGCAGGCCAGGGGCAACAAGAGAGGUAUGCUGCAGCUCAAUGGCUGGCAAGCAAUCUUUUGUGUGAGCUUAUCUUGAGGGAGGUAGCCAUCUCUGAGGGUACUGCAGAUGAGUGACCCAAGCACCCAGGAAUGCCACAAUGGCAGAAGAAGGAGGAUAAAAAAGGGACCAACAACCAUGAGGGUUAAGUGUCUGACAUCAGAAGUCUCAUGCGCCACACAGCAUGUUUGUCACAGAUCUGCAGUGGAAGAGGCCACAGUGCCAUGUGGCCACAUCACGUGAUCAAAGCAGGAUGCUGGAGGCACAUAUGACCUUCUAGCAGCAGAGAAAGACUUGGAGAAUAGCCCUACAUCUUGGAUGCCAGGCACCUAUUACUGCAGUUGAAGUACUAUGAGAUUAGAAUUUAAGAUUAAAAGUGAGGAGCAGAUUUAAGCAAUCAUUACAAAUUUUGUGGUAAAAAUCAUGAUCACAGAAAGACACUUACUCAACCACAAAAGUUUUUAUAAAGUGUCUGUUUAUGUAUUGUAUGCUUUUGAUGUCCAUAAAAACAGGUAUUCAACUUAAA
Long non-coding RNA from Coturnix japonica (Japanese quail), 661 nucleotides. RefSeq lists it as uncharacterized. NCBI's taxonomy places the organism in Eukaryota, Metazoa, Chordata, Aves, Galliformes, Phasianidae. The record is from RefSeq and is a predicted model, not a curated record.